AUUGAACGCUGGCGGCAUGCCUUACACAUGCAAGUCGAACGGCAGCGCGGGAGCAAUCCUGGCGGCGAGUGGCGAACGGGUGAGUAAUAUAUCGGAACGUGCCCAGUAGUGGGGGAUAGCCCGGCGAAAGCCGGAUUAAUACCGCAUGAGACCUGAGGGUGAAAGCGGGGGAUCGCAAGACCUCGCGCUAUUGGAGCGGCCGAUGUCAGAUUAGCUAGUUGGUGGGGUAAAGGCUCACCAAGGCGACGAUCUGUAGCGGGUCUGAGAGGAUGAUCCGCCACACUGGGACUGAGACACGGCCCAGACUCCUACGGGAGGCAGCAGUGGGGAAUUUUGGACAAUGGGGGCAACCCUGAUCCAGCCAUGCCGCGUGAGUGAAGAAGGCCUCGG
Molecule: ribosomal RNA, 390 nt
Filed under: uncultured bacterium
Lineage: Bacteria
Description: bacterial SSU rRNA
Rfam family: Bacterial small subunit ribosomal RNA
Source: RNAcentral